UACUCGAAAGAGUAGCUAAUACCGCAUACGAUCUGAGGAUGAAAGCGGGGGACCUUCGGGCCUCGCGCGAUUGGAGCGGCCGAUGGCAGAUUAGGUAGUUGGUGGGAUAAAAGCUUACCAAGCCGACGAUCUGUAGCUGGUCUGAGAGGACGACCAGCCACACUGGGACUGAGACACGGCCCAGACUCCUACGGGAGGCAGCAGUGGGGAAUUUUGGACAAUGGGCGAAAGCCUGAUCCAGCAAUGCCGCGUGCAGGAUGAAGGCCUUCGGGUUGUAAACUGCUUUUGUACGGAACGAAAAAGCUUCUCCUAAUACGAGAGGCCCAUGACGGUACCGUAAGAAUAAGCACCGGCUAACUACGUGCCAGCAGCCGCGGUAAUACGUAGGGUGCGAGCGUUAAUCGGAAUUACUGGGCGUAAAGCGUGCGCAGGCGGUUAUGUAAGACAGAUGUGAAAUCCCCGGGCUCAACCUGGGAACUGCAUUUGUGACUGCAUGGCUAGAGUACGGUAGAGGGGGAUGGAAUUCCGCGUGUAGCAGUGAAAUGCGUAGAUAUGCGGAGGAACACCGAUGGCGAAGGCAAUCCCCUGGACCUGUACUGACGCUCAUG
RNAcentral lists this ribosomal RNA (608 nucleotides) under Delftia sp. N-YB-1216. Its description in RNAcentral is "bacterial SSU rRNA". It matches the Rfam family "Bacterial small subunit ribosomal RNA", at positions 148 to 751 of the family's 1533-position model. The record is from RNAcentral. Lineage: Bacteria; Pseudomonadati; Pseudomonadota; Betaproteobacteria; Burkholderiales; Comamonadaceae.